AAAAUCACCUCACCAUCACCUGUGGAAUUCCAUCAUAUAUGGCAUGAUUUCUUUCUUCCUUUUGUAGAGAAGAGCCCAAGAGAGAAUUCGUGCCACAGUGACCCUGCUGUGCCCUAUGUUUAUUCGGCAGUAAUCCUCGGGGAAAGGAUUUUGAAAAUGUAUUAAAGCUAGCACCGAGAACGAGUGUUAUUUUGAAGAAGUUACUGCUCCUUAACGUUCUAUUUUAAGUAGAUAUUAUAGGUGUGAUUCCUUUUAAAACAAAAGAAAAAAGGAGAGCUGUGUUUGAUUUUACAAAUGGAAGGUUUUGUUCCUGAUACCGAAUCGCAUUAUUCAUUUACCUUGGCCCUGUCGGUGUUUGAUAGGGGUUUUUUCCCCUCCUUUUCACUCAACAACAACAAUAAUAGUAUGAGAUCUCGGACUAAGAUUCUGACGAAACAGAAAAGGGGAUGUGAGCAUCCUAGAUCCAGCUUUAUGAAGCAAUGCCCACACACAUCUCACCCCCUUGGUUAAUCGAGAUGAUUAAGCUCCUCAAGCUUGAAUCUACAGGGAAGUUGUAACCAUGCAGUUCCCACAUGAACAAAUAUUGGCGCUUCCACCAAGAAUCCCCAAAACCAGUUACAAAGUGAAGAGCUCAGACCUACAAAAGUGUGGACCCAGAGGGCAGACGGGACCACAAGAAGACCAUUUUUGCAACCUUCUCAAGCCUGCGGGGUUCUCAAGAGUCUGGAAAGGUGUGAUUUUUCCAAAGGGGACCAGGACGUCUAUCGUCUCGAAAAGUGUUCAACCGGCUCAGUUGCCCUUGUCCUAAGGGUCGGGAACCAGAAUUUGGCGAGCCGUCGGCCUGUGCGUGGGGACGCUAUCUACAAAACCCAUUGUGGAGCAAGUCCUGUAGCUCUCAUAGGCCCUGUCUGUAUUUCUUCAACGUAGGCUCUUGGAGAAUGACCUCUCUCCCCUAGAUUCCUUAUUUUUAACCUAUCUUUUUUUCCCAUGAUAGUAAGUGCCUUUCUCGUUUAAUUUUCCAUCUUUUCAUCUACACUCAGAGGACACCGAGGAAUGGAGACAGAGCCUCUCUAAGCAAAGAUAGGAGGCCAAAAACUGUU
This 1100-nucleotide long non-coding RNA is filed under the name Felis catus (domestic cat). RNAcentral describes it as "lncRNA (ENSFCAG00000050952.1)". The record is from RNAcentral. Lineage: Eukaryota; Metazoa; Chordata; Mammalia; Carnivora; Felidae.